UACGUAGGGUGCAAGCGUUGUCCGGAAUCAUUGGGCGUAAAGCGCGCGUAGGCGGCCCGGUAAGUCCGCUGUGAAAGUCAAAGGCUCAACCUUUGAAUGUCAGCGGAUACUGCCGGGCUAGAGUCCGGAAGAGGCGAGUGGAACUCCUGGUGUAGCGGUGGAAUGCGCAGAUAUCAGGAAGAACACCAACGGCGAAGGCAGCUCGCUGGGACGGAACUGACGCUGAGGCGCGAAAGCGUGGGGAGCGAACAGG
RNAcentral lists this ribosomal RNA (253 nucleotides) under uncultured bacterium. Its description in RNAcentral is "partial 16S ribosomal RNA". It matches the Rfam family "Bacterial small subunit ribosomal RNA", at positions 524 to 776 of the family's 1533-position model. The record is from RNAcentral.